GACGAACGCUGGCGGCGUGCUUAACACAUGCAAGUCGAACGGAAAGGCCCUGCUUUUGUGGGGUGCUCGAGUGGCGAACGGGUGAGUAACACGUGAGUAACCUGCCCUUGACUUUGGGAUAACUUCAGGAAACUGGGGCUAAUACCGGAUAGGAGCUCCUGCUGCAUGGUGGGGGUUGGAAAGUUUCGGCGGUUGGGGAUGGACUCGCGGCUUAUCAGCUUGUUGGUGGGGUAGUGGCUUACCAAGGCUUUGACGGGUAGCCGGCCUGAGAGGGUGACCGGGCACAUUGGGACUGAGAUACGGCCCAGACUCCUACGGGAGGCAGCAGUGGGGAAUAUUGCACAAUGAGCGGAAGCCUGAUGCGGCAACGCCGCGUGCGGGAUGACGGCCUUCGGGGUGUAAACCGCUUUCGCCUGUGACGAAGCGUGAGUGACGGUAAUGGGUAAAGAAGCACCGGCUAACUACGUG
This 468-nucleotide ribosomal RNA is filed under the name uncultured bacterium. Its description in RNAcentral is "partial 16S ribosomal RNA". It matches the Rfam family "Bacterial small subunit ribosomal RNA", at positions 28 to 507 of the family's 1533-position model. The record is from RNAcentral.